Molecule: long non-coding RNA, 228 nt
Filed under: Aquilegia coerulea
Lineage: Eukaryota; Viridiplantae; Streptophyta; Magnoliopsida; Ranunculales; Ranunculaceae
Description: long non-coding RNA (ACOE_LNC000293)
Source: RNAcentral
AAACUUAUACUCUAGAAAAACACACACACUCUCUCUCUCUCUCUCCCUCUCUCUCUCUCUCUCUCUCUCUCUCUCUCUCUGAAUUCACCCUAGAUAUAACGAGGUACAUAAGUUGUUCAUGGAAUACAAUUCUCCCAUUUUGAUGGUAAUAAGAAAUUCUAUGUUUGUUAUAUUGUCUUUUAUAUCCUGAACAAUAGGUAUGCAUUCAUUGCCUAGUCUAAUCUGUCA